Molecule: transfer RNA, 71 nt
Filed under: Marmota monax (woodchuck)
Lineage: Eukaryota; Metazoa; Chordata; Mammalia; Rodentia; Sciuridae
Description: tRNA.Ala
Rfam family: tRNA
About the family: Transfer RNA (tRNA) molecules are approximately 80 nucleotides in length. Their secondary structure includes four short double-helical elements and three loops (D, anti-codon, and T loops). Further hydrogen bonds mediate the characteristic L-shaped molecular structure. tRNAs have two regions of fundamental functional importance: the anti-codon, which is responsible for specific mRNA codon recognition, and the 3' end, to which the tRNAs corresponding amino acid is attached (by aminoacyl-tRNA synthetases). tRNAs cope with the degeneracy of the genetic code in two manners: having more than one tRNA (with a specific anti-codon) for a particular amino acid; and 'wobble' base-pairing, i.e. permitting non-standard base-pairing at the 3rd anti-codon position.
Source: RNAcentral
GGGGUUGUGGCUCAGUGGCAGAGCACUUGCCUAGCAUGUAUGAGGCACUGGGUUCGAUCCUCAGCACCACA